UGGGGAAUAUUGCACAAUGGGCGCAAGCCUGAUGCAGCGACGCCGCGUGAGGGAUGGAGGCCUUCGGGUUGUAAACCUCUUUCGCCAGUGAAGCAGGCCAUCUUCUUUGUGGGGUGGUUGACGGUAGCUGGAUAAGAAGCGCCGGCUAACUACGUGCCAGCAGCCGCGGUAAUACGUAGGGCGCGAGCGUUGUCCGGAAUUAUUGGGCGUAAAGAGCUCGUAGGCGGCUGGUCGCGUCUGUCGUGAAAUCCCCUGGCUUAACUGGGGGCUUGCGGUGGGUACGGGACGGCUUGAGUGCGGUAGGGGAGACUGGAAUUCCUGGUGUAGCGGUGGAAUGCGCAGAUAUCAGGAGGAACACCGGUGGCGAAGGCGGGUCUCUGGGCCGUUACUGACGCUGAGGAGCGAAAGCGUGGGGAGCGAACAGG
This 425-nucleotide ribosomal RNA is filed under the name bacterium. Its description in RNAcentral is "partial 16S ribosomal RNA". It matches the Rfam family "Bacterial small subunit ribosomal RNA", at positions 355 to 776 of the family's 1533-position model. The record is from RNAcentral.